This is a long non-coding RNA of Cyprinus carpio carpio, 2453 nucleotides long. NCBI's taxonomy places the organism in Eukaryota, Metazoa, Chordata, Actinopteri, Cypriniformes, Cyprinidae. The record is from Ensembl.
AGUAAAAAUGAAGAUUCUUCUUUUUCUCUCUUUUGCUUGUUUCAACAGGAGCUAAUACACCCCAAAGGCUCUUUUAAGAGCUACAGCACUGAGCAUAUUUGGUUUUAUCAGCCGUCAGUGGCUAUGGAUGCUAGCCAAGACCAACUGGGAUGCUAUUUGUUGCCGUUUUUGUUGCCAUAUUUUCAUGAUAUGUGCUUUGAUUUGAUAUGAAUUCAGUUCUCUCUCUCUCUCUCUCUCUCUCUCUCUCUCUCUCUAUAUAUAUAUAUAUAUAUAUAUAUAUAUAUAUAUAUAUAUAUAUGACAUUCAUGUAAAAUAUUGAAAGGUUUUGUAAUAAAUAGUGUAAUAUAAAUUACAGUAAAUUACUGUAAUAUUAUUAUACCUUAUAAUAUAAUAUAAAGCUAAGUAACAGUCAGGCGCGCUGGAAGCUGUUUCAUGCGGGGGGGGCUGAGGGCUGGGUUGGAAAAUAUGUGACGUCAUUAUGUUGUGACUGACGACAUGAAAUUUCUCUACUAGUCUUCUCCCCUGGCGUGAUUGUUACUGUUUUAUACACAAAAAUUGUAGCCUACUUGAUGUACUUGUACUUUGAUGUUUAAUAAAAAUAAAUAAAUAAAAAAAUAAUAAAAAAAAAAUCUCUGUACUGUUUAGGCUAUGUGUUGUAGCCAUUAAAGAAAACAUAUUUGGUUUCAUAUUUGUUUAAAUAUUAUAGGCUAAUGUAAUUUUUUUAUUUAUUUAAUCAAUGUUUAUUAUGAAAGUGAGCAUGCAGCAUGAGAAAGAUAUGAUACAUCAUGCGCAAUAGCCUAUGAGACAUGGAGUGGGUAAGACAUGAUUUUGACCACUUUAUUCAGUUUUGUUUUGUAGAAAGACUCUGUUUAAAAGAUUUUCGUUUUGUAUAAAUUGUAUCUUAAUUUUGAUCAAUAUUUUAUCAACCCAUUGCCUGUAUUUAAUAAACAAGCAAAUAUAUUAGCAGACAAUGUAAUAAGGUGCCAGCACAUCACUUGUAUUGCACGUGAACUGGAGGGCGCAGAAACACAGCUUGUGCCUCACAGACAGUUUUGAGAAAUAUAGGCUAUCUAUUAUAGAAAGCUUAAAAAUGUCUACUUUUAAACGAAAAUAUUCAAAACGAAAAGAAAUAGGCUACUCUCUGAAUAUGUAGGCCUAAUCCAUAUGAAAUGUGCAUUUCUCUCUGGCGUUCAUGGCGAGUCCGCAUCGUCUUUGCAGCGACACAGAAAUAUUAAAAUAAUUAAUCAUUAGUUUAUAUCUUAUACACUAUAUCUUAAUCCCACAUUAAACACAUUGUUAUGUCUGUUUUUUAUUUUUUUUUAUUUUUUUCACGUUUUUAAGUACAAUAUUAGGUUAAUCCACAGCCCCCCACCAGGGGGGGCUGAUGCUAUGACGAGGGGGGCUGCAGCCCCCGCAGCACCCCCCUUCCCGCGCCAUUGGUAACAGUAAGUAUAUAGUACUGUAAAAUUAAAUCGUGGUAAGAGCGUUAUACUGUAAAAUGUAAUUGUGGUAAGCUACUCUAAAGAGGCAGUUACAUUAGCAAAAUUACAAUAAAAAGUCUAACAUGGAUUGUCAGUGGAGGGACAGAAAUCUUCCAGAGAAGUAAGUUUGGCCAGUUUGGAAUGACUUGAGCGUGUGUUAAUGAUGACAUUAUUAUUAUACGCUGAGCGUAUCCCAUUUACUGAAUAAAGAGUGUGCCUAUUUGCUUGUGCAAUCUUAACAGUCAUGUGCAUGUGUGUGUGCUCCUGAGCUUUUCAUUGUGGAUUUACUAAGAAUAGUUGCAUAAUGUGUCAGAUUCUUGAAGCUCAGGGUUUGACAGAACAUGUUGAAACAUGCUUUACACUUAUAUUUGCAAUUAUGUGGAGCAGGAUUUUUUACCAAUGAGAUUGCAGAGUGAGUGGCACUUCCUAGCAUGAUGCAACAGAAAGUGAUCUGAUUUCUGAGUUGAUAAAAAUUGAUGCUUCGGGAAUCGAAACCUUGCACUUUGUGUGUUGAAUGAUCCUAUUGCAUCUGAUUGUCUGUAAAGUCACAUAUUUAUUUGUCACUUAAAAACGUCUCACUCAUUUUAUGUAACAUCUUGGCUUUGCAUUAUAUUUUCCUUUAUUUUCUGUAAUUGUACAAUGGAAUUUUAAAUUUAGGCAUACUUAUUUCUCUGACACUGGUCAUAUGACUACAGCAGACUCACACCUAUAUGUUUACAGAUUAAUCAGGUUCAAAGUUUUCAUUAUAACUAAAGCGACAUUAUAGGGGUCGAUGCAACAUCAGUAGGGGAAGUCGUGGCCUAGUGGUUAGAGAGUUUAAGUCCUAACCCUAAGGUUGUGGGUUCGAGUCUCGGGCCGGCAAUACCACGACUGAGGUGCCCUUGAGCAAGGCACCGAACCUCGAACUGCUCCCCGGGCGCUGCAGCAUAAAUGGCUGCCCACUGCUCCGGGUGUGUGUUCACUGCUGUGUGU